UAACUGGAGCCUCCGUAUGUCUAGUUAUAAGGCACAACUGAUAAUUAUUAUUACUUUUUUUAAUUUAUAUAUACUAAUUUUGAUUACCUCUUUAGUUAGCAAGAUGAGAGCCCCCUUUUACACAUGCACAUCUGAUACACCUUUGUUUCUGGACUUAUAACUUGAGUCUGAUACUCUGGUUAUUUGCUUUAGUUGUAGUUUAAUAACCUAUUUUUGUUGGCACAAGGUUAAUGGUGG
Molecule: unclassified non-coding RNA, 237 nt
Filed under: Hevea brasiliensis (rubber tree)
Lineage: Eukaryota; Viridiplantae; Streptophyta; Magnoliopsida; Malpighiales; Euphorbiaceae
Source: RNAcentral